This 528-nucleotide ribosomal RNA is filed under the name Synechococcus sp. BAC 9919. RNAcentral's name for it is "bacterial SSU rRNA". It matches the Rfam family "Bacterial small subunit ribosomal RNA", at positions 167 to 729 of the family's 1533-position model. Lineage: Bacteria; Bacillati; Cyanobacteriota; Cyanophyceae; Synechococcales; Synechococcaceae. The record is from RNAcentral.
UACCCCAUAUGCCGAGAGGUGAAAUGAAUUUCGCCUGAGGAUGAGCCCGCGUCUGAUUAGCUAGUUGGUGGGGUAAUGGCCCACCAAGGCGACGAUCAGUAGCUGGUCUGAGAGGAUGAUCAGCCACACUGGGACUGAGAUACGGCCCAGACUCCUACGGGAGGCAGCAGUGGGGAAUUUUCCGCAAUGGGCGAAAGCCUGACGGAGCAACGCCGCCUGAGGGAUGAAGGCCUCUGGGCUGUAAACCUCUUUUCUCAAGGAAGAAGACAUGACGGUACUUGAGGAAUAAGCCACGGCUAAUUCCGUGCCAGCAGCCGCGGUAAUACGGGAGUGGCAAGCGUUAUCCGGAAUUAUUGGGCGUAAAGCGUCCGCAGGCGGCCUUGUAAGUCUGUCGUUAAAGCGUGGAGCUUAACUCCAUUUAAGCGAUGGAAACUACAAGGCUUGAGUGUGGUAGGGGCAGAGGGAAUUCCCGGUGUAGCGGUGAAAUGCGUAGAUAUCGGGAAGAACACCAGGGGCGAAGGCGUUUGU